RNAcentral lists this long non-coding RNA (2465 nucleotides) under Erythranthe guttata (spotted monkey flower). RNAcentral describes it as "long non-coding RNA (EGUT_LNC002599)". Lineage: Eukaryota; Viridiplantae; Streptophyta; Magnoliopsida; Lamiales; Phrymaceae. The record is from RNAcentral.
AAAAAUAGGUUUUUUUGCAGGGACACGCAAUUUGAAGGGAUAUCUCAUAUAAUUUUAAAACACAGGAUCUCAUAAUAGAAACACUCAAAACAAUAAUAAAAUAACACCAAAGCAGUAGUAGUUUGGUAGUAACUCUCAGACAACUUUUUCCAACUUAAUUAAAUUACAGUAGAAUCCAAUCAAUUCAUGGUUUGGCACAAAGGCAAUACCCAACAUAUGAUGCUGAUGCCACAAGAGAUGUCACAGUCGUAGAAAUACAGUACAUUCGAAAUUUUUUCUGUGCGUCUUCGAAUUUUUUGUCGAUGGUCGUAUCCAGAGAACUUUUUCCAACUUAAUUAAAUUAUAAAUUACAGUAGAAUCCAAUUAAUUCAUGGUUUGGCAUAAAGGCAAUACCCAACAUAUGAUGCUGAGGCCACAAGAGAUGUUACAGUCGUAGAAAUACAGUACAUUCGAAUUUUUUUCUGUGCAUCUUCGAACGGCCCAACUGUCUACACACAUCUUGUUCAUCUCCUCCACGUGGAUUCUAUUCAAGUUUAAACUAUUUUUCCUCCACGUGGAUUCUAUUCAAGCUUAAACUUUUUUUCCUCAUUUCCAGUACUCUGUGUUUCUGGAUUAAAAAAAAAAAAUAAUAAUUAGCUAGAAUUGAAAAGAAAGAAAAAAGAUCAAACAAGUUAUUCAAAGUCAAAAUUUUGAAUCUAAAUCCCAUAAGAAAGAAAAAGUAAAUAAAAAACUCUAGUCUAAAGUGAUACUUAAUCCAGAAAGACUAUAGAAUUUAAAGUUCAUUUGGCAAAAAGUCACUAAAUAGUAAUAAUUAAUAAAAGAUCAACACAUAGAGCUUUGGAGAUUUAAAUUAGAGCUAAUUGCACAUAACCCCUAUGUAAUUUUUAAUGGCAAAAAAAACCCUCAUAUUAAAAAAAAUUAGCAAGAAUCUCCUUAUAUUAUUUUUUACAAAGCAUACUGCCCCUUAUUUCAUAUUUGGCUGUUGACUUAAGAGAAAUGACAAAAUUAACCUUUAUUAAAAAUAACGAACAAUAUCCCAACCCAAAAAAAAUUUAAAAACAAAUGUACAAAAAUAUGAAAAAAAAGAAGAGAAAAAAAUACUAUUAUUUGAUGAGAAACAUGAAAUAUGAAUUUGUGAACCGGCCCGUCGUCCCCAGGACGUGCCCGGUUCUAUGAAUUCGUGAACCGUGAACCGUCGGGCCGGGCCAGCGGUUCACCCAAAUUUAAAAAAAAAAUAAUAAAAAAAAAUCAAAAAAAGCAAAAAACGGCUGGUGAACCGGCCCGGUGAACUGACCCGCUGAACCCGCCGUUUUUUGCUAUUUUUUGAAUUCCCCCCCCCCCCCCCAUUUUUUCUUAAUAAAUACGCUUGCACCCAUUUUUUUCCUAUAAAAUUAAGUUAAAGUCAUUUUAUUUAUUUCGUUUUGUUUUCUUUUUUCUAUUUAAAAGUAAUUAUUUUAAUUUAUUUAUCCAUUAAGCAUUUUUUUUAAAUAUAUAUAUAUAUAUAUAUAUAUAUAUAUAUAUAAAUCAAAUUUUCCGGGCCGACCCGUGAACCAGCCUGGAUAGGCCCGGAACGGGAUUGAACCGGCGGGCCGACCCGACCUACCGAACCGUGCAUAUUACGAGCCGGUUCCGGUUCCGGAAAAAGUGAACCGUGAACCGGUAUGAACCGGCCCGUGGCCGUGUCUAGGUGUUGUCCACAAUAAGUUUUCAGGAGCCUUAAUAAUUUUGACUAAUUUUCAAGGGAGGUCCUUGCUAAUUUUUUUAAUACGAGGACAUUUUCAGCAGUUCGAAAUUAGACAGGUUGUUUUUGCAAAAAAAACCCAUUUAACUUGGUGCAACUACUGCUCAUCUUCCAAAAAAAUUUCCCAAUUUUGUGAAGCUUAUGACUAGAUCACAUGUGGAAACGAAAAAUCUAAAGAAUAAAUUAAAAAAAAAAGUACGGCAACACAAUUCAAUCUUGCUUUUCGAAGCAUGUGUGUAAAAAACUCUACAACCGAGAUUAUUCAAGAAAAUCACCAGAAAUCCGUGAAAAGAACUGUCAAUACAACAUAUCAUUGACUGAAAUAAUCAACAGAAAGAAUCCAUAAAUACAUAUACACACACACACACACACACACACACACACACACACACACACACACACCUUGUUUCAGUAUAAGAAUAAGGAAAUUACCAGAGCAAUUUGGUCAACCAAAUCUCCUCCGUCUUCGUACGACUUGACUAAUCCGGACAUCCUCCGCCUCGAAGAAAUUGCUUCGUACGGAUUGACUAAUUCGGACAUCUUCCGCCUCGAAGAAAUUGAGGAAGGACAAGUGGAUUUCGAAAAUCGAAUCAUACGCUGAAACACAACCAUCAAGAAGAUCUCGCGCAACGGCAGCCCUAGAAGCAACGACGGAUAAAUAUGAUUUUGUUUGCCCUAGAAUUGCCUGCCUCUUAUGUAUUAUAUAUUGUUGGGCAAAGUUCAG